This 460-nucleotide ribosomal RNA is filed under the name uncultured bacterium. Its description in RNAcentral is "partial 16S ribosomal RNA". It matches the Rfam family "Bacterial small subunit ribosomal RNA", at positions 338 to 795 of the family's 1533-position model. The record is from RNAcentral.
CCUACGGGCGGCUGCAGUGAGGAAUAUUGGUCAAUGGGCGGGAGCCUGAACCAGCCAAGUCGCGUGAGGGAAGAAGGUACUGAGUAUUGUAAACCUCUUUUGCCAGGGGACAAAGGCGGCCACGGGUGGCCGUAAGAGGGUACCUGGAGAAAAAGCAUCGGCUAACUCCGUGCCAGCAGCCGCGGUAAUACGGAGGAUCCGAGCGUUAUCCGGAUUUAUUGGGUUUAAAGGGAGCGUAGGCGGGUUGUUAAGUCAGUUGUGAAAGUUUGCGGCUCAACCGUAAAAUUGCAGUUGAUACUGGCAUCCUUGAGUACAGUAGAGGUAGGCGGAAUUCGUGGUGUAGCGGUGAAAUGCUUAGAUAUCACGAAGAACUCCGAUUGCGAAGGCAGCCUGCUGGACUGUAACUGACGCUGAUGCUCGAAAGUGUGGGUAUCAAACAGGAUUAGAUACCCUUGUAGUC